Molecule: non-coding RNA, 1572 nt
Organism: Miniopterus natalensis
Lineage: Eukaryota; Metazoa; Chordata; Mammalia; Chiroptera; Miniopteridae
Source: RefSeq, a predicted model, not a curated record
GCGUCCCAGGAGGAGCGCCGAAACGCACUUCCUCCGCCGCGGAGCGCCGGGGCGGGGCGGGAGACUGCCCCGCCCACUUCCGCCCGGCGUUUUCGGCGGCCCCCACGGGCCCAGGGCUUUAGCUUUUUCUGUAUUUAGAGUUUUACUUCAUUUCGUCCCACCUGCUCCUCGUUUUGUUCCAAAACAGUAUAAUGCCACUUCAGCUUCCUCCAACCGUGAGGCACUCUGCUCAGACUCGGAGCCUGGCGCAGCCGCCAUCUCUCAGAAACGCUGGGGCCAGUAAGUCCGCUGUCCUGCGGGCGGGAGCAAAUGGCUGGUAUUCCCGAUGCUCUGCUAGGGGAGGCGGGAGCGGUGGAGCUGACCUGUAUUUGAAUUCUGACUCCCCCACCCCUUAACAGCUGUGUCCAAAUUGAAAAAGUUAAUCUCCCUUGAGUCUUUUACUAUGUUGAUGGAUCAGAGGAGGUAAUGCGUGUAAGGCCCUUAGAAAAAUACCUGGCAUAGAGUAGUAUCUAGCAUAAAGGUUAAGUAAAAAUAAAGGAAAAGCUAUAUGUAUUUAUUGACACCUAUUUGCGCAUGUCAUGCUGUGUUGGGUUUGGAAAGUGUUUGAUUCUUCGUCCCCGUGGAAAUGGCCUUUUCCCACCUAAAUGAGCUGGUGUUUGUCUGAUGUCUCUUGAGCAUGUUUGCCAUCUUCCAGGCUCCUGGUUCCUAAGAAAUUUUAUGCUUUUAUUGAAAUUCAUCACCACCACCCUUUUGGGGGGGGGGGCGCAGAGCUUUGUACUGAAUUAGUAUUCAGUUGGGAUGGUGGACAAGCCUAAGUUACCUGCAAUUUUAUUUCACAGGAAAUGAAGAGGUAGACUAGCCUCUUCCCAGGUUUAUUUUAGGUUGCUGCCUGAUAGGAGGCCAUAAUGCUUCCCAAAUACUUGCCCCCUACAGUUUGGAAUCAGGUAAAGGGGCAGAGACAGGUCUUAGAGAGCAAGAGAGAGAUGCUAGAUUUUUUAAUUUAUUUUUUCAGUUGCACUGAUGACUGUAGUACUUGUCUGUGCUUCUUGUGAUACUUUAUAAGGGAAUGAUAAAGAAGCAUGCCAGGAAAGAGAUUAUCUUUCACUGAAAAAUGGAUAAACUUAUGACUGAUUCAUUCAUGCUGCACUGAGUCUUGAGAUACUGAGGAAUAAUUAGAACUUUUCCUUUCCAGACUGAGUUGUUAACCUAAGUUUCAGUUGAUUUCUGCAAUCCCUUCAGGACUCUCUUGUUCUUGCCCAUUCAGACACAGUUUAACUGGGACUGAACAAUACCGUCAAAUACAAUUCCCACUGUGCAGUGAAUUAUCUGAUCUCCAAACUGGUUGAAGAUCUGGAGGUUCCUUAUACUUUACAACAGUUAACUUUUAUCUGUUUUUUUGCUUGGAAUCAGCUACCUGGGAUCUUCCAAGACUGCUAUAACCGCCUCUUGGUUUCUCAGGAGAGCAUCGUGCAUUGACCAACAUGGACUUUGAUGCUUAGCAUCACUAGCUCCUGGCUCCCCAAGAACCCAGUUACCUGAAGAUAGCAUUUGGUGCUUCUGAUGCCUGAGUCC